CGUAAGGGGCGAGCGUUGUUCGGGAUCAUUGGGCGUAAAGGGUGAGUAGGCGGAUAUGCAAGUCUAUGUGUAAAAUACCACAGCUCAACUGUGGAACUAUGCUGGAAACUGCAUGACUAGAGUCUGAUAGGGGAAGUUAGAAUUCCUGGUGUAAGGGUGGAAUCUGUUGAUAUCAGGAAGAAUACCAGAGGCGAAGGCGAACUUCUAGGUCAAGACUGACGCUGAGUCACGAAAGCGUAGGGAGCAAAC
RNAcentral lists this ribosomal RNA (249 nucleotides) under uncultured Borrelia sp. RNAcentral describes it as "partial 16S ribosomal RNA". It matches the Rfam family "Bacterial small subunit ribosomal RNA", at positions 526 to 773 of the family's 1533-position model. The record is from RNAcentral. Lineage: Bacteria; Pseudomonadati; Spirochaetota; Spirochaetia; Spirochaetales; Borreliaceae.